Canis lupus familiaris (dog) is the source of this 798-nucleotide long non-coding RNA. RefSeq lists it as uncharacterized. The record is from RefSeq and is a predicted model, not a curated record. Lineage: Eukaryota; Metazoa; Chordata; Mammalia; Carnivora; Canidae. The transcript is spliced from 2 exons.
UUAGACAGAGGCGGGGACAGGAUGAGCUCAAUGACCCCAAUGUCUGGGGACUUCCUGCAAGUGGUUUUGGGCUGCUGCCUUCUAGGCUGAGUGACUGGGGCAAGGGUAGGUGGACACAUUAUUGGAAGCAGAUGCGCAGAGGAAUGCAGGGCAUGCUCAGGAACUGGGACUGGUGCCGUUGGAGCUAAAGAGAAGACAUGGAGGCCAGAGAAGUGAAGUGACCUGCCCAAGGUCACACAGUAGCAGAGUCCAGACCAGAACCCAGGUGCCGUCCAGCAGCUGAAGGAAGUGGGACUCACCAUCCCAGAGGAAUGGGAGGAAGGCAUUUCUAACUUCAACCUAAAAGAUCUGAUGGGGUCAGGGUGGCCAAGGACCCAUCAGGGAAGGUAGUCCUGGGGGGAAUAAUGUUCUAGAAGCUGUGAGAGGAGGAUCCCGUGCUUGUAGGAGUGGCAAUGGUUAAAAAUAUGCCCACAAAUUAUUUGACACUCUCUCUCCUUGGAAAAGGCCACAUAGCUUCUGCCUGGUUCUACCCUGAGAUUGCUGAACUGGAGAGGCUACAGGUGGGUGGGUGUUCCUGUGCAUAGCCUCGCGGAGCUUCCAGGCCACAACCAGCAUCAAUUGUCAGUUGUGUGAGUGUGCCAUCUUGGAUGUCCAGUGGAGCCUUCAGAGGGCAGCCCUGGCCAACAUCUAUAUGUAACUACAUGAGAGACUCUAAGUAAGAACUGGCUGGCCAAGCCCUUCUUGAAUUCUUGGCCCACAAAAUCAUAAGCAAAUAAAAUGUGUGUUUGGAACUUUGAA